Molecule: non-coding RNA, 985 nt
Organism: Myotis brandtii (Brandt's bat)
Lineage: Eukaryota; Metazoa; Chordata; Mammalia; Chiroptera; Vespertilionidae
Source: the annotation of a RefSeq genome assembly
ACAAAAAAAAUGCAAAUAGAAUAACAAGAGAUGAGAGAAAUAAAUUAUAAGCCAUAAAAUAAAGUUCCUCAAGAUGCUUGAAAUGACUGAGGUGAAGGAGGAAAGAAGGAAACUGAGUCUGAUUUUCCCCCAGUUACCCUGGUCUCCACUUUCCUGGGAACCUAGAUAUCACAUCUGGUCACUACCUCUGCUCAGCAACAGAAAAUGGAAAGAUAACAUGAGCCAAUGAAAUGAAAAUAAAGAAACAGAAGAUAAGAAAAAAAUGGGGAGGGAUACGGUAAAAAUUAAUCAUUCCUAAACUAAGGACCAAUAAUGAAGGUACUGUACUCCUCUCUCUUGGAUUUCCCUGCAUAGUAAUACAUACUAAGCCAGGAUGUUUGUAUAGUUCAGGCAAAAGGAUGUCCCAUUCAACUGAUGUGCAAGAUCACCUCCAGAGACAAUAGGAUCCAUUAGAAAUGGUGAUGUCACAGGAAGACCCGCCUCAUGGGAGGCAGCUAUGAGGUCUAGCUCCCUGAGCAGCUGCAGGAAGCACCCUUCUUUGCACUGCCCAGGGACUCCCCUCAUGCCCAACUCAGCCAUGGGCACCAUACUCCCCUGCUGGGUGAUCGUCUGGCUCCUGGGGGCAGGUCCCACGAGUGCCAGCAGCGUCAUCCAGAAUCCAAGACGCCUGGUCCUGGGGAGAGGACAGGAGGCAAACCUGAGUUGCAACCCAGUGAAAGGCCACAUUUACAUCUACUGGUAUCGGCAGCUCCUGCAGGAAGGGCUGAAAUUUAUGAUUUACCUCCGGAGAGAAGAAAUCCUGGACGACUCAGGAAUGCCAACAAAACGCUUUUCGGCUGAAUUUCCCAAAGAGGGGCCCAGCCUCUUUAACAUCCAGCUGGCAGAGCUGGGCGACUCCGCAGUGUAUUUCUGUGCUAGCUCCUUGUCCACACCAAUUCAGAGUCACAUCCUCCCAGGGCACAAACUCCUCCAGGCCCCGCCCUGA